GAUGAACGCUGGCGGCGUGCCUAAUACAUGCAAGUCGAGCGAACAGACGAGGAGCUUGCUCCUCUGACGUUAGCGGCGGACGGGUGAGUAACACGUGGAUAACCUACCUAUAAGACUGGGAUAAAUUCGGGAAACCGGAGCUAAUACCGGAUAACAUGUUGAACCGCAUGGUUCCACAGUGAAAGACGGUUUUGCUGUCACUUAUAGAUGGAUCCGCGCCGCAUUAGCUAGUUGGUAAGGUAACGGCUUACCAAGGCAACGAUGCGUAGCCGACCUGAGAGGGUGAUCGGCCACACUGGAACUGAGACACGGUCCAGACUCCUACGGGAGGCAGCAGUAGGGAAUCUUCCGCAAUGGGCGAAAGCCUGACGGAGCAACGCCGCGUGAGUGAAGAAGGUCUUCGGAUCGUAAAACUCUGUUAUUAGGGAAGAACAAAUGUGUAAGUAACUAUGCACGUCUUGACGGUACCUAAUCAGAAAGCCACGGCUAACUACGUG
This 497-nucleotide ribosomal RNA is filed under the name uncultured bacterium. Its description in RNAcentral is "partial 16S ribosomal RNA". It matches the Rfam family "Bacterial small subunit ribosomal RNA", at positions 28 to 507 of the family's 1533-position model. The record is from RNAcentral.